UAUUGGUCAAUGGGCGGGAGCCUGAACCAGCCAAGUCGCGUGAGGGAUGACGGCCCUAUGGGUUGUAAACCUCUUUUGCCGGGGAGCAAAGUGCCGCACGUGUGCGGUUUGGAGAGUACCCGGAGAAAAAGCCUCGGCUAACUCCGUGCCAGCAGCCGCGGUAAUACGGAGGAUGCGAGCGUUAUCCGGAUUUAUUGGGUUUAAAGGGUGCGUAGGCGGGCUGUUAAGUCAGCGGUCAAAUGUCGGGGCUCAACCCCGGCCUGCCGUUGAAACUGGCGGCCUCGAGUGGGCGAGAAGUAUGCGGAAUGCGUGGUGUAGCGGUGAAAUGCAUAGAUAUCACGCAGAACUCCGAUUGCGAAGGCAGCAUACCGGCGCCCGACUGACGCUGAGGCACGAAAGCGUGGGUAUCGAAC
Molecule: ribosomal RNA, 413 nt
Filed under: uncultured bacterium
Lineage: Bacteria
Description: bacterial SSU rRNA
Rfam family: Bacterial small subunit ribosomal RNA
Source: RNAcentral